Molecule: unclassified non-coding RNA, 340 nt
Filed under: soil metagenome
Description: partial contains 5.8S ribosomal RNA, internal transcribed spacer 2, and large subunit ribosomal RNA
Rfam family: 5.8S ribosomal RNA (bases 1-120)
Source: RNAcentral
GAUGAAGAACGUAGCGAAAUGCGAUAAGUAAUGUGAAUUGCAGAAUUCAGUGAAUCAUCGAAUCUUUGAACGCACAUUGCGCCCUUUGGUAUUCCAAAGGGCAUGCCUGUUCGAGCGUCAUUUGUACCCUCAAGCUUUGCUUGGUGUUGGGCGUCUUGUCUCUAGCUUUGCUGGAGACUCGCCUUAAAGUAAUUGGCAGCCGGCCUACUGGUUUCGGAGCGCAGCACAAGUCGCACUCUCUAUCAGCAAAGGUCUAGCAUCCAUUAAGCCUUUUUUUCAACUUUUGACCUCGGAUCAGGUAGGGAUACCCGCUGAACUUAAGCAUAUCAUAAGCGGAGGA